CAGCAGACACAUUCCAGCCAAUCAGCAUCAGACCCUCCCUCCCAGACCCUCUCACCUCCUGGACAGCUCACUAAGAAUGCAGCUUCACAAUGAAUGUAAAAUGGAUGCUGUCCAGGAGGUGGGAGGGUCUGGGAGGGAGGGUCUGCUGCUGAUUGGCUGGAAUGUGUCUGCUG
RNAcentral lists this microRNA precursor (173 nucleotides) under Pelobates cultripes (western spadefoot toad). The record is from RNAcentral. Lineage: Eukaryota; Metazoa; Chordata; Amphibia; Anura; Pelobatidae.